AACGAACGCUGGCGGCAGGCUUAACACAUGCAAGUCGAACGCCCCGCAAGGGGAGUGGCAGACGGGUGAGUAACGCGUGGGAAUCUACCCAGUUCUGCGGAACAACAGUUGGAAACGACUGCUAAUACCGCAUACGCCCUACGGGGAAAGAUUUAUCGGAAUUGGAUGAGCCCGCGUAAGAUUAGCUAGUUGGUGAGGUA
RNAcentral lists this ribosomal RNA (200 nucleotides) under uncultured bacterium. RNAcentral describes it as "partial 16S ribosomal RNA". It matches the Rfam family "Bacterial small subunit ribosomal RNA", at positions 29 to 259 of the family's 1533-position model. The record is from RNAcentral.